Molecule: ribosomal RNA, 737 nt
Filed under: uncultured Nocardioides sp.
Lineage: Bacteria; Bacillati; Actinomycetota; Actinomycetes; Propionibacteriales; Nocardioidaceae
Description: bacterial SSU rRNA
Rfam family: Bacterial small subunit ribosomal RNA
Source: RNAcentral
UACACGAGCGGCGAACGGGUGAGUAACACGUGAGCAAUCUGCCCUUCACUUUGGGAUAACCACCGGAAACGGUGGCUAAUACCGAAUAUGACCAGUCUCUGCAUGGAGUGCUGGUGGAAAGUUCCGGCGGUGGAGGAUGAGCUCGCGGCCUAUCAGCUUGUUGGUGGGGUAAUGGCCUACCAAGGCGACGACGGGUAGCCGGCCUGAGAGGGUGACCGGCCACACUGGGACUGAGACACGGCCCAGACUCCUACGGGAGGCAGCAGUGGGGAAUAUUGGACAAUGGGCGAAAGCCUGAUCCAGCAACGCCGCGUGAGGGAUGACGGCCCUCGGGUUGUAAACCUCUUUCAGUAGGGACGAAGCUAACGUGACGGUACCUACAGAAGAAGCACCGGCCAACUACGUGCCAGCAGCCGCGGUAAUACGUAGGGUGCGAGCGUUGUCCGGAAUUAUUGGGCGUAAAGGGCUCGUAGGCGGUUUGUCGCGUCGGGAGUGAAAACUCGGGGCUUAACUCCGAGCCUGCUUCCGAUACGGGCAGACUAGAGGUAUGCAGGGGAGAACGGAAUUCCUGGUGUAGCGGUGAAAUGCGCAGAUAUCAGGAGGAACACCGGUGGCGAAGGCGGUUCUCUGGGCAUUACCUGACGCUGAGGAGCGAAAGUGUGGGGAGCGAACAGGAUUAGAUACCCUGGUAGUCCACACCGUAAACGUUGGGCGCUAGGUGUGGGACUCAUUCCACG